CAGUAGCCGCGGGAAUACGUAGGUGGCAAGCGUUGUCCGGAAUUAUUGGGCGUAAAGCGUGCGCAGGCGGUUUGUUAAGACAGAUGUGAAAUCCCCGGGCUCAACCUGGGAACUGCAUUUGUGACUGGCAGGCUAGAGUAUGGCAGAGGGGGGUGGAAUUCCGCGUGUAGCAGUGAAAUGCGUAGAGAUGUGGAGGAAUACCGAUGGCGAAGGCAGCCCCCUGGGCCAAUACUGACGCUCAUGCACGAAAGCGUGGGGAGCAAACAGGAUUAGAUACCCGGGUAGUCCCUGUCUCUUAUAC
This 301-nucleotide ribosomal RNA is filed under the name uncultured bacterium. RNAcentral's name for it is "partial 16S ribosomal RNA". It matches the Rfam family "Bacterial small subunit ribosomal RNA", at positions 509 to 807 of the family's 1533-position model. The record is from RNAcentral.